RNAcentral lists this long non-coding RNA (615 nucleotides) under Struthio camelus australis. RNAcentral describes it as "lncRNA (ENSSCUG00000000322.1)". The record is from RNAcentral. Lineage: Eukaryota; Metazoa; Chordata; Aves; Struthioniformes; Struthionidae.
UAGCAGAUAAUUAGGUUCUGUCUCACAGGUUCAUUUUCCUGUGACUGGGACGUGAAUAUGACCUACAGCUGGCCUCAAUUUCAGUGUCACAGACAAAACUUUAACCCUUCCUAGUCUUGUCACUACUGUACCGACUGCUGCUGGCGGUCGUUGCAAACGUUUUCCCUGCAGUGUUCAACACAGCACACCCUAGUGAAUCCUCGGGGCUCGUUUCCCAGGUUAUGCUAAUCCCGAGCUAGGAGGGAGAUGGCCAAGCUUGCAUUCACAUGGUACGCUGGAUGGGGAAAAGAGUAUCGUUAGCACCAAAUGAAUAUUGAUUGUCUGGUAUGUAGAUUUGCCGGAAAGUAAUUGCUUGGAGUCAAGGAAUCUGUUGGGGAUGAUCUGUGUUUGGACACCUGAGCCUCUGCAGAACAUGACUGAUUGUGCUGUUCUUUCAAGGACCUACUCAAAGAUGGCUUUGGCUGAUAUUUUACAUAAGAACAAUACAAUUGCACUGUCUUGAUGCCUUAAAAAAAACUGCUUUUGGUGCUGAAACCUGCUACUGUAAGUUGCUAAUAGAAGCAAGAAAUAUGCUGAUCUAACUGCCUGUUUGAAUAACCGUAUCACUGUCUGGAA